RNAcentral lists this ribosomal RNA (527 nucleotides) under uncultured bacterium. Its description in RNAcentral is "bacterial SSU rRNA". It matches the Rfam family "Bacterial small subunit ribosomal RNA", at positions 355 to 896 of the family's 1533-position model. The record is from RNAcentral.
UGGGGAAUAUUGCACAAUGGGCGAAAGCCUGAUGCAGCGACGCCGCGUGAGUGAGGAAGUAUUUCGGUAUGUAAAGCUCUAUCAGCAGGGAAGAAAGAAAUGACGGUACCUGAGUAAGAAGCUCCGGCUAAAUACGUGCCAGCAGCUGCGGUAAUACGUAUGGAGCAAGCGUUAUCCGGAUUUACUGGGUGUAAAGGGAGCGUAGGCGGCAGAGCAAGUCUGAUGUGAAAGCCCGGGGCUCAACCCCGGUAGUGCAUUGGAAACUGUUCAGCUUGAGUGUCGGAGGGGUAAGCGGAAUUCCUGGUGUAGCGGUGAAAUGCGUAGAUAUCAGGAAGAACACCGGAGGCGAAGGCGGCUUACUGGACGAUUACUGACGCUGAGGCUCGAAAGCGUGGGGAGCGAACAGGAUUAGAUACCCUGGUAGUCCACGCUGUAAACGAUGAAUACUAGGUGUCGGUACCCGAAGGGUAUCGGUGCCGUCGCAAACGCAUUAAGUAUUCCACCUGGGGAGUACGUUCGCAAGAAUG